RNAcentral lists this ribosomal RNA (721 nucleotides) under uncultured Flavobacteriales bacterium. RNAcentral's name for it is "bacterial SSU rRNA". It matches the Rfam family "Bacterial small subunit ribosomal RNA", at positions 55 to 777 of the family's 1533-position model. The record is from RNAcentral. Lineage: Bacteria; Pseudomonadati; Bacteroidota; Flavobacteriia; Flavobacteriales.
AUGCAAGUCGAGGGGUAGAGUUCUUCGGAAUUUGAGACCGGCGCACGGGUGCGUAACGCGUAUGCAAUCUGCCUUCCACAGAGGGAUAGCCCAGAGAAAUUUGGAUUAAUACCUCAUAGCAUUACAGGAUGGCAUCAUCCGGUAAUUAAAGUCACAACGGUGGAAGAUGAGCAUGCGUCCCAUUAGCUAGUUGGUAAGGUAACGGCUUACCAAGGCGACGAUGGGUAGGGGUCCUGAGAGGGAGAUCCCCCACACUGGUACUGAGACACGGACCAGACUCCUACGGGAGGCAGCAGUGAGGAAUAUUGGUCAAUGGGUGCAAGCCUGAACCAGCCAUGCCGCGUGCAGGAUGACGGUCCUAUGGAUUGUAAACUGCUUUUGUACGGGAAGAAACACUGAUUCGUGAAUCAGCCUGACGGUACCGUAAGAAUAAGGAUCGGCUAACUCCGUGCCAGCAGCCGCGGUAAUACGGAGGAUCCAAGCGUUAUCCGGAAUCAUUGGGUUUAAAGGGUCUGUAGGCGGUCUUGUAAGUCAGUGGUGAAAGCCCAUCGCUCAACGGUGGAACGGCCAUUGAUACUGCAGGACUUGAAUUACCGGGAAGUAACUAGAAUAUGUAGUGUAGCGGUGAAAUGCUUAGAUAUUACAUGGAAUACCAAUUGCGAAGGCAGGUUACUACCGGUGGAUUGACGCUGAUGGACGAAAGCGUGGGGAGCGAACAGGA